GGAGUGAUGGCUUAAUGGUAAAGCGUACAGUUUAUAUUUCAGGUGUCACCCCCAGAUUCUUGUACCCUGCGGUGCGAGGCGUCGUCGAGGGGCAUCUGAGGCUAAAAACCACCGUGAGAUGCUGGUUCAAGUCCAGUCUACUCCA
Hyaloscypha variabilis F is the source of this 145-nucleotide non-coding RNA. NCBI's taxonomy places the organism in Eukaryota, Fungi, Ascomycota, Leotiomycetes, Helotiales, Hyaloscyphaceae. The record is from the annotation of a GenBank genome assembly.